GCCCAUGGCUCAAUGGUAGAGCACUGGCUUUGCAUGCAAAAGGUCUCCAAGUUCAAUCCCCAGCAUCUCCA
Molecule: non-coding RNA, 71 nt
Organism: Podarcis lilfordi (Lilford's wall lizard)
Lineage: Eukaryota; Metazoa; Chordata; Lepidosauria; Squamata; Lacertidae
Source: the annotation of a GenBank genome assembly